CCCUUAGAUGUUCUGGGCCGCACGCGUGCUACGCUGAGUGGAUCAGCGGGUCAGGUUACGCGAGAGCGUUUCCUAAUCUUCAAAUCCGCUCGUGAUGGGGAUUGACGGUUGCAAUUUUCCGUCAUGAACGAGGAAUACCUUGUAAGCGCGGGUCAUCAUCCCGCGCUGAAUACGUCCCUGCCCUUUGUACACACCGCCCGUCGCUCCUACCGAUUGAGUGGUCCGGUGAGGCUUUGGGAUCUAAGCGAAAAGAGCGUUUCGCUCCUUUUGCUGGGAGAACUCAGUCGAACCUUAUCAUUUAGAGGAAGGAGAAGUCGUAACA
Molecule: ribosomal RNA, 322 nt
Filed under: uncultured eukaryote
Lineage: Eukaryota
Description: partial 18S ribosomal RNA
Rfam family: Eukaryotic small subunit ribosomal RNA
Source: RNAcentral